Non-coding RNA from Arachis ipaensis, 95 nucleotides. Lineage: Eukaryota; Viridiplantae; Streptophyta; Magnoliopsida; Fabales; Fabaceae. The record is from RefSeq and is a predicted model, not a curated record.
CAAACUUAGGAAUUUCAUAUUCCCAUCUUAAAAUUUCUGGGAAUGUUCUAUAAUUCUCCCAACCACACACACCUUUAAUAAUGGAGGCAUUCCAG